AGUUGCUGUAUUCAUGUGUCUGUUGGGUUAGGUCAGGUUCGCUUGCACAUUUUUAGUCUAAAGUUGUAGAGGCUCAGUUGAGACUAAGAUCAAAAGCGUGCAGCCAGCUUGAGGAAUAGUGGGAUCUAUAGACUAAGUUGGGGCAACGUUAGCAAUACAGCCUCAAAUUUGUCUUGAAGGUCUAACCAGUCUAUCAUUGAUGACAUCCGGCACGGCAACAGCAAACGGUACGGCCCAGAGGCGUUGAAGGAACUCCUGAAACUCCUGCCUGAAGCAGAGGAGGUGAAGAAGCUCCAAGCUUUCAAAGGAGACACCAGUAAACUGACCCUUGUGGACUCCUUUAUGUACCUUUUGAUCCAGGUGCCAAGUUUUGAUGUUCGUAUUGAAGCCAUGGUGCUUAAGGAGGAAUUCUUCCCAUCCUGCUCAGUGAUGAGCCGUGAAAUCGAUGUUAUCCGCACGGCCACUAAAGAGCUGAUGACGUGCGAGGAGCUGCACGCUAUUCUGCAUCUGGUGCUGCAGGCCGGGAACAUCAUGAAUGCUGUA
Non-coding RNA from Paramormyrops kingsleyae, 543 nucleotides. The record is from RefSeq and is a predicted model, not a curated record. NCBI's taxonomy places the organism in Eukaryota, Metazoa, Chordata, Actinopteri, Osteoglossiformes, Mormyridae.